Molecule: ribosomal RNA, 468 nt
Filed under: uncultured bacterium
Lineage: Bacteria
Description: partial 16S ribosomal RNA
Rfam family: Bacterial small subunit ribosomal RNA
Source: RNAcentral
GACGAACGCUGGCGGCGUGCUUAACACAUGCAAGUCGAACGGAAAGGCCCUGCUUUUGUGGGGUGCUCGAGUGGCGAACGGGUGAGUAACACGUGAGUAACCUGCCCUUGACUUUGGGAUAACUUCAGGAAACUGGGGCUAAUACCGGAUAGGAGCUCCUGCUGCAUGGUGGGGGUUGGAAAGUUUCGGCGGUUGGGGAUGGACUCGCGGCUUAUCAGCUUGUUGGUGGGGUAGUGGCUUACCAAGGCUUUGACGGGUAGCCGGCCUGAGAGGGUGACCGGCCAACAUGGGGAUGGGGACGCGGCCAGCCUCCCGAGGGGGGGAAGGGGGGGAGAAUAGGGAAAGGGGGGGCGAGCGUCUGCAACAAGCCGCCGGUGGGGAAGAGGGGCUUUGGGGGAAUAGACAGUGGUGUCCGUGGAGAAGGGGGGAGUGAGGGUAGUGAGAAAAGAAGCGCCGGCUAACUACGUG